This 500-nucleotide ribosomal RNA is filed under the name uncultured bacterium. RNAcentral's name for it is "partial 16S ribosomal RNA". It matches the Rfam family "Bacterial small subunit ribosomal RNA", at positions 30 to 522 of the family's 1533-position model. The record is from RNAcentral.
AUUGAACGCUGGCGGCAGGCUUAACACAUGCAAGUCGAGCGGGGAGAUGUAGCUUGCUACAUUUCCUAGCGGCGGACGGGUGAGUAAUGCUUAGGAAUCUGCCUAUUAGUGGGGGACAACAUUCCGAAAGGAAUGCUAAUACCGCAUACGCCCUACGGGGAAAAGCAGGGGAUGUUCGGACCUUGCGCUAAUAGAUGAGCCUAAGUCAGAUUAGCUAGUUGGUGGGGUAAAGGCCUACCAAGGCGACGAUCUGUAGCGGGUCUGAGAGGAUGAUCCGCCACACUGGGACUGAGACACGGCCCAGACUCCUACGGGAGGCAGCAGUGGGGAAUAUUGGACAAUGGGCGCAAGCCUGAUCCAGCCAUGCCGCGUGUGUGAAGAAGGCCUUUUGGUUGUAAAGCACUUUAAGCGAGGAGGAGGCUACCUGGAUUAAUACUCUAGGAUAGUGGACGUUACUCGCAGAAUAAGCACCGGCUAACUCUGUGCCAGCCGCCGCUUAA